GACGAACGCUGGCGGCGUGGAUUAGGCAUGCAAGUCGAACGGUAUCAUCCUUUCGGGGGUGAGAGAGUGGCGAACUGGUGAGUAACACGUAGGUUAUCUACCCUCAAGACGGGGACAACCCAGGGAAACUUGGGCUAAUACCGGAUGUGAGCAACUUUUAGUUGUUUGAAAGGUGGCGUAAGCUGUCGCUUGGGGAUGAGCCUGCGUCCUAUUAGUUAGUUGGUGAGGUAACGGCUCACCUAGGCAAUGAUAGGUAGGCGGCCUUAACGGGUGGUCGCCCACACUGGGAUUGAGAUACGGCCCAGACUCCUACGGGAGGCAGCAGUCGAGAAUAGUCUACAAUGGUCGGAAGACUGAUAGUGCGACGCCGCGUGAACGAUGAAUCCCUUCGGGGUGUAAAGUUCUUUUAUAUGUGAGCAGUGCUUCUUAUAUUAACAGUAUGGGGAAGAGAUAUUAGCAUAUGAAUAAGCAACGGCUAAACUCCGUGCCCAGCAGCCGCGGU
Molecule: ribosomal RNA, 502 nt
Filed under: uncultured bacterium
Lineage: Bacteria
Description: bacterial SSU rRNA
Rfam family: Bacterial small subunit ribosomal RNA
Source: RNAcentral